Molecule: long non-coding RNA, 1128 nt
Organism: Talpa occidentalis (Iberian mole)
Lineage: Eukaryota; Metazoa; Chordata; Mammalia; Eulipotyphla; Talpidae
Exons: 5
Source: RefSeq, a predicted model, not a curated record
CAGGGUUCUGGAACUCAGAGCUCUGAUGGGGAAGGGCCCUGGAGUUGUCACAUAAGCACCCACUUUCCCCCUCCCUGCAGCCUCUUCUGACCGUGGCGCCGUGAGUCAUUACUUGGAACAGGUCUCGUCUAUAAAAUGAGGAAUGUGACCAUACUGGCUUCAAAGGUCCCUGUAUUUCCCCAGAGCUCCACGCUCCUCCCCUGGAUCUGUUAUGAAUUAUUGACCAGCUCGGCCAAGACGGCUAACCUGAAGACCCCAAAGUCAUGGUUUCUACCCGAAGAAAGCAAAAAACCCUAAUUCAAAGAGAUAUGUGCAUCCCUAUGUUCAGUGCAGCACCACUUAUAAGAGCCAAGUUAUGGAAACAACCUAAGUGCCCAAUGACAGGCUCGUACUGUGUUGCUUAAGAUGUGGUUAAAAAGAGAAAAAUAGCAAAAUGCUCCAAAUCUUCCACUGCCCAUGAAGUCUUCAAGGGACGGGGAGAGUGAGUGCGUGAGGGGGUGUGUUUCCAGCACUCAGCACCUCUAUGUCUAACUCACCUAGGCACACAAAGAUGAUUUCGUCUUUUACCUAAGAAACCCAUUUGCAAGACUGGAAUUGAGAGCAAGCGGGGUCCUGUUUGUCUGGACAGUAAGGACCCGGCUUGCGUAUAUCAGCACCAACCUGUUUACAGCCUCAAGACACACACCUCUCAGGAUGGAGCCUUCCUGAAGCUCACAGAUAAGUUCUCCUAAGAUACGUGGUCAGAUGAGUCACACCCUUGGCUUUUUCGCCCUGUCUUCUUGCCAUCAAGGUGCAGGCCCCAAGGAUAUGCAAGAGGAAAUGAGUAAGUGUGACAGAAGAGGAAGACUGGGCAGGGCGGAAAGGCUUCUUGGAAGACAGUGAUGGGAUAAGCAGGCGGGAAGCAACUGUCCCAAGGAAUGAGGUCACCUCAUGGCUUCUACGGUGUUAUUUCGUAAAAAGAAAUUAAUUUGGAGUAACUAUUACACGCUCUACUAGCCCAUACUAUUUGCACUGAAACAUGAAGGCUUUUCUUCAAAUCUAGAAGGUGGUAAUAAAGCUGCCUCGGUAUAAAGGGGUUUCUUGAACUGUAUUUUGUGAUGCGGCAGCCCGUGACAUCAGCUGUGGAAG